GUGUUCUACUCUGUGUUAGUGUACACUCAGUGUUAGUGUAUACUCCAUGUUAGUGAAUACUCAGUGUUAGUGUAUACUCAGUGUUAGUGUAUUCAAUGUGUUAUACUCAGUGUUAGUGUAUACUCUGUGUUAUACUCUGUGUUAAUGUAUGCUCAGUGUUAGUGUACACUCGGUGUUAGUGUACACUCGGUGUUAUACUCAGUGUUAGUGUACACUCAGUGUUAUUGUAUACUCAGUGUUAGUGUGCGUAAUGGUGUCACUG
Molecule: non-coding RNA, 262 nt
Organism: Pelobates cultripes (western spadefoot toad)
Lineage: Eukaryota; Metazoa; Chordata; Amphibia; Anura; Pelobatidae
Source: the annotation of a GenBank genome assembly